GGGUUGUGAGGUUAAGCGACUAAGCGUACACGGUGGAUGCCCUGGCAGUCAGAGGCGAUGAAGGACGUGCUAAUCUGCGAUAAGCGUCGGUAAGGUGAUAUGAACCGUUAUAACCGGCGAUUUCCGAAUGGGGAAACCCAGUGUGUUUCGACACACUAUCAUUAACUGAAUCCAUAGGUUAAUGAGGCGAACCGGGGGAACUGAAACAUCUAAGUACCCCGAGGAAAAGAAAUCAACCGAGAUUCCCCCAGUAGCGGCGAGCGAACGGGGAGCAGCCCAGAGCCUGAAUCAGUGUGUGUGUUAGUGGAAGCGUCUGGAAAGGCGCGCGAUACAGGGUGACAGCCCCGUACACAAAAAUGCACAUGCUGUGAGCUCGAUGAGUAGGGCGGGACACGUGGUAUCCUGUCUGAAUAUGGGGGGACCAUCCUCCAAGGCUAAAUACUCCUGACUGACCGAUAGUGAACCAGUACCGUGAGGGAAAGGCGAAAAGAACCCCGGCGAGGGGAGUGAAAAAGAACCUGAAACCGUGUACGUACAAGCAGUGGGAGCACGCUUAGGCGUGUGACUGCGUACCUUUUGUAUAAUGGGUCAGCGACUUAUAUUCUGUAGCAAGGUUAACCGAAUAGGGGAGCCGAAGGGAAACCGAGUCUUAACUGGGCGUUAAGUUGCAGGGUAUAGACCCGAAACCCGGUGAUCUAGCCAUGGGCAGGUUGAAGGUUGGGUAACACUAACUGGAGGACCGAACCGACUAAUGUUGAAAAAUUAGCGGAUGACUUGUGGCUGGGGGUGAAAGGCCAAUCAAACCGGGAGAUAGCUGGUUCUCCCCGAAAGCUAUUUAGGUAGCGCCUCGUGAAUUCAUCUCCGGGGGUAGAGCACUGUUUCGGCAAGGGGGUCAUCCCGACUUACCAACCCGAUGCAAACUGCGAAUACCGGAGAAUGUUAUCACGGGAGACACACGGCGGGUGCUAACGUCCGUCGUGAAGAGGGAAACAACCCAGACCGCCAGCUAAGGUCCCAAAGUCAUGGUUAAGUGGGAAACGAUGUGGGAAGGCCCAGACAGCCAGGAUGUUGGCUUAGAAGCAGCCAUCAUUUAAAGAAAGCGUAAUAGCUCACUGGUCGAGUCGGCCUGCGCGGAAGAUGUAACGGGGCUAAACCAUGCACCGAAGCUGCGGCAGCGACACUAUGUGUUGUUGGGUAGGGGAGCGUUCUGUAAGCCUGUGAAGGUGUACUGUGAGGUAUGCUGGAGGUAUCAGAAGUGCGAAUGCUGACAUAAGUAACGAUAAAGCGGGUGAAAAGCCCGCUCGCCGGAAGACCAAGGGUUCCUGUCCAACGUUAAUCGGGGCAGGGUGAGUCGACCCCUAAGGCGAGGCCGAAAGGCGUAGUCGAUGGGAAACAGGUUAAUAUUCCUGUACUUGGUGUUACUGCGAAGGGGGGACGGAGAAGGCUAUGUUGGCCGGGCGACGGUUGUCCCGGUUUAAGCGUGUAGGCUGGUUUUCCAGGCAAAUCCGGAAAAUCAAGGCUGAGGCGUGAUGACGAGGCACUACGGUGCUGAAGCAACAAAUGCCCUGCUUCCAGGAAAAGCCUCUAAGCAUCAGGUAACAUCAAAUCGUACCCCAAACCGACACAGGUGGUCAGGUAGAGAAUACCAAGGCGCUUGAGAGAACUCGGGUGAAGGAACUAGGCAAAAUGGUGCCGUAACUUCGGGAGAAGGCACGCUGAUAUGUAGGUGAAGUCCCUCGCGGAUGGAGCUGAAAUCAGUCGAAGAUACCAGCUGGCUGCAACUGUUUAUUAAAAACACAGCACUGUGCAAACACGAAAGUGGACGUAUACGGUGUGACGCCUGCCCGGUGCCGGAAGGUUAAUUGAUGGGGUUAGCCGCAAGGCGAAGCUCUUGAUCGAAGCCCCGGUAAACGGCGGCCGUAACUAUAACGGUCCUAAGGUAGCGAAAUUCCUUGUCGGGUAAGUUCCGACCUGCACGAAUGGCGUAAUGAUGGCCAGGCUGUCUCCACCCGAGACUCAGUGAAAUUGAACUCGCUGUGAAGAUGCAGUGUACCCGCGGCAAGACGGAAAGACCCCGUGAACCUUUACUAUAGCUUGACACUGAACAUUGAGCCUUGAUGUGUAGGAUAGGUGGGAGGCUUUGAAGUGUGGACGCCAGUCUGCAUGGAGCCGACCUUGAAAUACCACCCUUUAAUGUUUGAUGUUCUAACGUUGACCCGUAAUCCGGGUUGCGGACAGUGUCUGGUGGGUAGUUUGACUGGGGCGGUCUCCUCCUAAAGAGUAACGGAGGAGCACGAAGGUUGGCUAAUCCUGGUCGGACAUCAGGAGGUUAGUGCAAUGGCAUAAGCCAGCUUGACUGCGAGCGUGACGGCGCGAGCAGGUGCGAAAGCAGGUCAUAGUGAUCCGGUGGUUCUGAAUGGAAGGGCCAUCGCUCAACGGAUAAAAGGUACUCCGGGGAUAACAGGCUGAUACCGCCCAAGAGUUCAUAUCGACGGCGGUGUUUGGCACCUCGAUGUCGGCUCAUCACAUCCUGGGGCUGAAGUAGGUCCCAAGGGUAUGGCUGUUCGCCAUUUAAAGUGGUACGCGAGCUGGGUUUAGAACGUCGUGAGACAGUUCGGUCCCUAUCUGCCGUGGGCGCUGGAGAACUGAGGGGGGCUGCUCCUAGUACGAGAGGACCGGAGUGGACGCAUCACUGGUGUUCGGGUUGUCAUGCCAAUGGCACUGCCCGGUAGCUAAAUGCGGAAGAGAUAAGUGCUGAAAGCAUCUAAGCACGAAACUUGCCCCGAGAUGAGUUCUCCCUGACUCCUUGAGAGUCCUGAAGGAACGUUGAAGACGACGACGUUGAUAGGCCGGGUGUGUAAGCGCAGCGAUGCGUUGAGCUAACCGGUACUAAUGAACCGUGAGGCUUAACCUUACAACGCCGAAGGUGUUU
RNAcentral lists this ribosomal RNA (2932 nucleotides) under Escherichia coli. Its description in RNAcentral is "bacterial LSU rRNA". It matches the Rfam family "Bacterial large subunit ribosomal RNA". Lineage: Bacteria; Pseudomonadati; Pseudomonadota; Gammaproteobacteria; Enterobacterales; Enterobacteriaceae. The record is from RNAcentral.